UACGUAGGGUGCGAGCGUUGCCCGGAUUUAUUGGGCGUAAAGGGCGCGUAGGCGGCUCGGCACGUCCGUUGUGAAAUCGCCCGGCUCAACUGGGCGGGGUCAGCGGAUACGGUCGAGCUUGAGCAAGCUAGGGGGCAAUGGAAUUCCCGGUGUAGAGGUGAAAUUCGUAGAUAUCGGGAGGAACACCAGUGGCGAAGGCGGCGAUCUGGGAGGAUACUGACGCUGAGGUGCGAAAGCGUGGGGAGCAAACAGG
RNAcentral lists this ribosomal RNA (253 nucleotides) under uncultured bacterium. RNAcentral describes it as "partial 16S ribosomal RNA". It matches the Rfam family "Bacterial small subunit ribosomal RNA", at positions 524 to 776 of the family's 1533-position model. The record is from RNAcentral.